This 1498-nucleotide unclassified non-coding RNA is filed under the name Hevea brasiliensis (rubber tree). The record is from RNAcentral. Lineage: Eukaryota; Viridiplantae; Streptophyta; Magnoliopsida; Malpighiales; Euphorbiaceae.
CGAAGGUUAACCAAUAACUGUAAUUAAUCAACAAUUAAGCUUUAAUCGAGCCAACCAGGAAUGUGAAUCCGUAAGCUAAUUUUAAUAAUCAGUACACGUCAAGAAAUGGAAUUUCUUUUUACUCUACAACACUCACAGGCACAGGUAAACAGCAAUGGUGCCUUGAAAGAUUCUACUCCUAAAAUCAUACAAGUGUAUACAUGACAAGAAAAUGGAAAAACUAAUUGAAAAUAAAAAAAGGCUUAAGGCAAUGGUUUUUCCGGCCACUCUCAGAAACCGCCUGCGGCCGUAGCAGCACUGUUUGCUAGCCAGGGGAGGCCAAAGUUCACUGGAAAGUGAUCGGUGAAGCUGUCUCCGGUGACCGGAUCGGCGAGUUCUUCCAAACCAGAGAAGAAAUCGUCACUUACAGCCAUAUCAGAGAACCCACCAAAAUCAUCUUCUUCUUCAUCUUCCAUUGCGUCUUUCUCUUCUCUGCUUUCUGUGUUUGUACUUUGGGGUAGAAGCUCGUCAUCCAAGGAAGUUGCAGGUGAUGAGCAAGUGGGUUUGGCUAGCGGCGAGGGUUUGUUAGAGUCACUGGCGGCAACGGUUUGUGGUGUGGUGGACUUCUGGCGGGUACUACCAGCGAGCGAGUUUCGGUGGGUGGGUGCAGGGUGGUUGUGCUCGCCUGUGUAGCUUACUAUGAACAUUCCCGGGUCGGAUCUGUUUCGUUCAACUUGUUUCCUGGCCAAACACCCCUUUGAGGUGCUACAUCUGUAAUAACUCCUCGGAUAUGGAGAGCCUUUGAUGGGUUUUUGCCCGUAUUUUCGCCAUGCCCACACAUCUGAAGAAAGAGACUCUGCUGGUACUUGGCAUAUCUUCUUUAGCUGGUUCUUCCUGUAGUUACAUACACACAUGAGCUUCUUUUUGAAUUUCUUGGGAGAUGUUUCUAAGAAAUUCGUUCAUUAAUCAUCUAGUUUAAAUAGAUUGAAAAAGAUUUACCUUCUUUUAGAUCGAGGAGUAUGAGAAUUUGCAGUGGAGACGGAGGCUGCAUGAGAUUGCUUGGGCUGCUUUAUCUGCGUUUGUUCCUUAGAGACGGCAAGAGAAGAAAUGGGGGCAGGUUGUGGUUGUGGAGAAUAAAGAUAUUGAUUAGAUUUGGGGAAAAAGGGCUUGUAAAGCUCAUCCAACUCCCCAAUAGCAUUUCUUGUCUCAAAGGGAUCGGGAAGAGAAAAAAGAGGACCAGGUUGUUCACUCUCAAAAGAACAAGUGGAAGAAAAGCAAAAAUCUUCUCUGGUAAGGGAACCGACGGAGUAGGUGGUGGUGGUGGUAGCAGCAGUGGUGGAGGAAGAAGAGGAGGCAGUGGUGCAACCUCUGACCACAGCGUGAAGAUCCCAGUCGUCGUCCAUGGCAAAAGGUAGCGUGAAGCUAAAAAGCUCUGUGAAUCAGUACCUUCCUUCUGCAACAAAUGUUGGAGAGAGAAGCCAAAAGAAGGCGCUGACUUUUUACAGAGAGAGAGAGAGAG